AAUGGAGUCUUACAUGACACAGCAGUUUACAGUGGAGGUGACACAACAACUGACUGACUUGAACCAGGCAGACACUGGAUGAGCCACCAGACUAUGGACAAGAACCAAAAGAAGGCUGGUGCACAAUCCACAAACUGUGGAAGGUGUGCACCGUCUGCAAAACAGUGAAGGAAACAACAGACGUAUGAACCAGAGCAAAGACUGAGCUCACCCACACUGAAGCAGUGACUGCUCA
Molecule: long non-coding RNA, 235 nt
Organism: Sphaeramia orbicularis (orbiculate cardinalfish)
Lineage: Eukaryota; Metazoa; Chordata; Actinopteri; Kurtiformes; Apogonidae
Exons: 3
Source: RefSeq, a predicted model, not a curated record